This 4864-nucleotide long non-coding RNA is filed under the name Salvia miltiorrhiza (redroot sage). Its description in RNAcentral is "long non-coding RNA (SMIL_LNC006178)". The record is from RNAcentral. Lineage: Eukaryota; Viridiplantae; Streptophyta; Magnoliopsida; Lamiales; Lamiaceae.
AAGAAAGAAAAAUUCAUAAUAUAACUGAUGUUUAGUCACAAAGACUCAAACAGACUUGUAAGUUCAGAUGAAUCCGACUUAACUAAAAAGACAUAAAACCUAAGAGUACGCAGCGGAAAAACAUAAUCUGACUACAUGUAUGAAGACAUGUAUCCAAGAGUUCAUUCAUUCAACCUAAGACAAAAGCUCCGCUCGUCACUUCAUCACCAUCAGCCAUUGCUCAACCUGCACAUUUAAAAAUAUAUGCAGGGCUGAGUAAGAGAGUACUCAGUGGGCACGUAUGCCUAAUAUACACAUCAUCUCUUAAAAACUAUAAAUUGUCAUGCCAUCAUAAACAGUACAUCGAGGGAGUUUUAACUAAAAGGCCCAAGCUUACUAAAUUCAUUUGUGAUUCUUAAAGUUCGACUGCAGUCUAAGUUCUCAUAAUCUAUCAUAUCUGAAGCUGCGUGCCGGAGAGGUGGCCACCUCUCAACGGACACCGGACCGGCCAACCCGCUAGAUGACUCACGGUCCCUCGUGUACACUAGUCAAGGCAGGAUAGCUAGGGAUGUCAAUGCAGCCCGAAACCCGUGGGCCGACCCGAAUAACCCGAUAAAAUUAGAGGGUUAGAGUUGAAAAAUCGCAACCCGAUUACAAAUCGGGCUAAUCGGGCUAGCCCGUUCGGGCUGUCGGGUUGAAGCGGGUCAGCCCGUCGGGUUGUCGGGCCAGCCCGUCGGGCUAUUGAAUUUUUUUUAAAAAAAAAAUCAAAAAUGAAAUAUUAUGAUUUUAGGCUUGUAGCUUUAAGGUUUGCUUCAGAAUUUCCCUAUUCAGCGGCGCGCCUCCAAGUUCCAACUCUCCAAGUUCUCCAACACUUCCACCGUUCACCGCUUCCGAUCAUCCAACGCCGUUCAUCGCCGUUCGGCGUUCACCGUUGAACCACGGUCAGCAGUUCAGCUCGCCUCUGCAGCCGCGGAGUCCUUCGUUUGCCUCUCAUCUGCCGCCAUUUGCCACCACCGCCUCCAGGCUCCAGCAACCGGUCCACGUCGUCGGCUCCUCCACUCGCGACAGUCGGCAUUUUUGAUCCACCUGUCACCACCGCAGGACAGCCCAGAAGCCAUCACAUCCACCGCUGGCGAGCAACAGUAAAAACGGUGAGUCUUUUUUUAAUUCACCUGAUUAUUUCAUUAGAUGUAGUCAUCCUCUGGUGCGUUGAGAUAGUUGUGAAGAAGAUGGGUCAAACUGGAGGUCAAAGAGCCGCGUGCCAGCAGAUCCUCUGCUAAUUUCACCUGAUUAUUCAUUAAUUAUUAAUAAUCUCCAUCUCUCUCUCUCUCUAUAUAUAUAUCUAAUUAAAAAUAGUAUAUAUGAAUGUAUGAUGAUGUAUAGUAAUUAAUUAAAAAAACCUUAGGCUCUGAGAGCUCCGACGUCUGAUUUGAGGACUCGAUUGUUGGUGGCAGCAUUUUUGCACUUUAUGUUAAUUACAUUUUCACUUAUAUGAAUAUAUGUUUCCAGGGGAUUAUUAUAAUAAUAUUUGUGUCUUUACCCGAUUCAUGAUUCUUCUAUGUUAAGGCUUUCAGUCUACAACUUUUAUGUUUUUUAUUAUGACAAGUUAUAUUUAUUUAUUUAUUUUUAAAUAUUUGAAUGUAUUCAUAUUUCAAAAUUAUACAAAAUUAUUCAUAUACAAUUAUUUUUGUUGUAGGAAUACAAAAGUUACAAAGGUGGAACUUCCGAUUCAAAAUCUCCAACCCGAUGGGCUAGCCCGAAACCCGAACGUUUAGGGUUAGGGUUGAAGAUUUACAACCCGAAAAAACCUCCAACCCGAUUAGCCCGCACCCGAUUAACCCGGAACCCGAUAGGGCUAGCCCGAAAACCCGAUGGGCUGGCCCGAUUGACAUCCCUAAGGAUAGCUAUCAACUGCUCAAGACCCGAAUUCGAUUACAUAAUAACUGGCAAAGCCACAUCAGAUAGAUAUCAUACUGAAAUUGAAACAUUUUAUGGCAAGACAAUACUUGAAAUAACUUCAACUCAAAGAUUUUGUCAUGAAAUAACUUGCUUGAACGUAACAUUUAAACUCAUUUGAUAUAUAUGAAAGUAAUGCCCACCUGAUAAGCGAACCUUUGCUAUAGCUUAGUGACUCCUUAUUAGCUUUUACUGUCGCGCUUGACCUUUAAUGCGAGAACGUAAGGUCAAACCUUAGCUCAAGGAUAAUUCUCAAAUAAAUGAGAAUGCGUAAAAUAAAUAUGCAUGACUCAAUAUUCCCUUAAUUAUUAUAUUGAGAUAAUAAAUCAUAUUAAAAUUCUUAUAAUAAUCUAAAAUAUAAGCUUAAAACUCGUCUUAUGGUAUACUAACUCGCUUAAUUAAUAACCUCAUUCUAAACUAAUCCAAUUAGAUAAAUCGGUCCACUUAAAAACAAUAAAUCGGCCCAACCAGAAGCCCAUCUCUAAAAAAAAUCAACUUCAGCCCAAGUGAGGUCCCUCAUUUUGCUCAAACACGGUUUCUCCCUCUCUCUGAAAUGUCUCUGCGCCAUCUCUCUCUCUACGCGAGUUCUGCCACCACCUGACCGGCGAGGCCGCGCCUCGCCUCUGAACUCCGCCGAGUCGGCGUCCUCAUCCAUGUCUCUCGUCUUCUCCUAUUCUAUUCACUCUCUCCUUCUCUCAUCCACUUCUUCUUAAUUCAAUUCCUCAAUUCUUUGAUCUAAGCCCUAGUUUUCCCUUUAAUCAUAGACCGCAGUCACCGCCGCCGUUGAAGGCCCGGUGAGACGGACGGUCGUGAUUCCGUCUCUUCUCAUUUCUCAACAGGUUCACCUCUUCUCUGCUCAAGUCAGAAGAGCCCUAGCUCUCUGUUGAUUCAGGCGAAAUCGUCGCGCCGCUGGGCUUCGUCUGCCGCUGCUCUGUGAACUGGCGGGAGUCGCCGUUGGCGUCGCGCUGCCUUUGCCCUAAAAUUGGCAAGGCUGUUGCUCGACGCUCCGCCUCCUCUAUUGGGAACUACCGCCUCCCUGUAAGGUCGUUGGAAGCUGCCCCGUAAGCCGAGGCCAUCUUCCGUAGUCGAGGGUCGCUGCGCCGCCGUUGCUAUUUGUUCGGCGAAUCGGAGCAGUCACUCGUAGCCUCGUCGACUCGCGUUGCUCGUCCACGCAGUCUCCGUUCUGUGCCCAACCCUCCCGGGGUCCGACCACAACCAACCUAACCCAGUCUCUCUCCCGGGAAGGACUCAACAGGUUCGUAAGCUUACAAAGCUCCAACUCUCGAUUGGUAAUGUAAUAGGCGAUUUAUGCAAUCACGUCUGGUGUUUGCUAAAGAACUCUAUUCUUAGCACAACUCACAUUAUUCUAUCCUUUAUACACAUGCUAUGGUUUAUUCUGUACCAUAGGAACUUAUGGUUUUUGCUAUGUCCAUUUAUGCGUAUAUUAUUCAACUCUAUAUUCUGAAUUUCUGAUUAAUCUAAGCAUGCUCUGUUGGGGUGUGAAAUAUGCGAACAUAGAGACUAACUUGAGAUCAGGGGCGAAGCUACGCCCCUGGGAUUUUAAAAAUAGUAGGGGUAUUUUCGUAAUUUUAUAUUAAAAAUAAAAAACAUAUAAUUUUAUCUACAUUAUUAUUAUGUUGAGCUAUUUUAAACUGUAAUUAGUAUGCAAUAUUUAGAAUUAAGACGUUUUGAAGAAGUGAACACAUAAUUAAUUUAUACAUAUCAUGAUUGGAUUGGAUUCCGGAUAUUUAUUUUUUUAAUUUGAUAUUGAAAGCUACUUUGUCUUACAAAGUUUUAUGAUAUUUUUGCAAAUAAAAUCACAUUCUAUUUCAAAUUUGUAAUUUUAACGUAACUUUUGACUGUGGCGAAUUAAAUCACUAUUUUUUCAAUUUUUUCAAUUACGUCCCCUAUUUUUUUUUUCGAUCGUCAGAGUGUUGAAUUGCAGCUCACGUGGAUUAGUAAAGACGACGUCGUUUUUGUGAGGCCUAAACGACGUCGUUUCGUAUAAUUUCAAAUAAUUUUUUUUCCAAAUAAAAGAGACAGUAUCUUGUAUUUGCACCAUAAUUUUUAAUAUGUAGUAAUUUUAUUGCAAAAUACAUCGUAACACGAAUAUUAUAUGGAGAAAUAAUUCACACAAACUUCAAGUUAAUAAUUCGACAAUCCAAAAAAUUGGGGGAUGAAAUUGCAAAAAUUAAAAAAGAUGAGUGAUUUACUUUGCCACACUUUCAAAGUUACAUUAAAAAAAAUUUGGACCCCCCUGAAUCGAAAGUCUAGCUCAGCCCCUGCUUGAGAUAGUAAAUACCUUGAUUGUUUUGUCCUUUUCGCUGUCUGUUGCGCUAUUUGAGUUUAAAGAGGAGAUAGCUGAAAAUUUCAGAUGUUGUUUAUUGACAUAUGCCGGAGGAAUCAAGAAUGAACUGGUAGAAAACUUAAGCCAAAGCUUACCUGUUCUAAGUUUGGCAGCAAUUGAAGUCUCUCAUUCCUUUGGUUGUUGAUGAACUAAGGAAUGAAUGAAAGGGCUGAUAGCCGUAAAGAAUCGAAUAUGGUGAAGGUGGUGAGUAGCUGAGGGGAUGGGAUGUCAUAGGGUGGCUGAUUGACUCUCUAGGUGUACCUUGGGUAUGGCUUUGAAGCUGCUCUAGCUGCAGAGAAGGGAUGGGAGCUGCUGUUGCAGCUGCCCUUGUACAGCACGUCCUCCCCCCCCCCCUCUUUUCUUCUCUCUUUGCCAUUUUUUUCCUCCUUUUGUUGCUACGUGUACAAGCUAGAUAGUAGGAGUGAAGUUGUAAUGUAGCUAGGAAUAAAUCCUUCUGUCUUGUAUUUAAUCUGAAUAUAGUUAUGAGUUUUGCUAAUAUUGCUUGUUUGUAAUCGAAUACUAGUUACUCUAAUAAAUCCCGUAUCUGCUAAUUCUAUAUUAAACCCGUAGAUUUAAUUCGCU